RNAcentral lists this ribosomal RNA (236 nucleotides) under uncultured Candidatus Saccharibacteria bacterium. Its description in RNAcentral is "partial 16S ribosomal RNA". It matches the Rfam family "Bacterial small subunit ribosomal RNA", at positions 584 to 818 of the family's 1533-position model. Lineage: Bacteria; Candidatus Saccharimonadota. The record is from RNAcentral.
AAAGUGAAUAGUGAAAUCUGGGGGCUCAACCUCACAGGCUAUUAUUCAAACUCACUGACUCGAGAACAGCAGAGGUAACUGGAAUUUCUGAAGUAGGGGUAAUAUCCGUAGAUAUCAGAAGGAACACCAAUGGCGUAGGCAGGUUACUGGGCUGUUUCUGACACUGAGGCACGAAAGCGUGGGGAGCGAACCGGAUUAGAUACCCGGGUAGUCCACGCCGUAAACGAUGGAUACUA